AGCAGCCGCGGUAAUUCCAGCUCCAAUAGCGUAUAUUAAAGUUGUUGCAGUUAAAAAGCUCGUAGUUGAAUUUCGGGAUCAAGUCGUCGGUCGUGCUCAGGUACGUACUGGCGUCAUUGAUUUCUCCCUUCUGACGAACCAUGAUGUCAUUAAUUUGGUGUCAUGGGAAAUCAGGACUGUUACUUUGAAAAAUUAGAGUGUUUAAAGCAGGCUCACGCUUGAAUACAUUAGCAUGGAAUAAUGAAAUAGGACGUUCGAUCCUAUUUUGUUGGUUUUUAGGAUCAACGUAAUGAUUAAUAGGGAUAGUUGGGGGCAUUAGUAUUCAAUUGUCAGAGGUGAAAUUCUUGGAUUUAUUGAAGACUAACUACUGCGAAAGCAUUUGCCAAGGAUGUUUUCAUUAAUCAAGAACGAAAGUUAGGGGAUCGAAGACGAUCAGAUACCGUCGUAGUCUUAACCAUAAACUAUGCCGACUAGGGAUCGGAUGAUGUUAAUUUUUAUG
This 499-nucleotide unclassified non-coding RNA is filed under the name uncultured Ambispora. Its description in RNAcentral is "SSU rRNA". It matches the Rfam family "Eukaryotic small subunit ribosomal RNA", at positions 569 to 1074 of the family's 1831-position model. The record is from RNAcentral. Lineage: Eukaryota; Fungi; Glomeromycota; Glomeromycetes; Archaeosporales; Ambisporaceae.